AGACAAUGUGUUAGUAAUCAAAGCAGUUGGUUAUAUGGUUAAUAUUUUACAAGUAUAUUUUACAUAGAGCUUUAGAAUUGGAUCACUUUAAUGCCAAAUUGCCGGUACUGUGGCCUGUUUGUUAUAAAACUACCAUAUUUAAUCAAACAUUUAUUUGAGGGUUUCAGGACUUCUCUGUCAUUGGUGGGCUAACAUUGUAUAUUUAAAAAUGAUUUAAUAUUUAGUCUUAUCGAUCCACUAUAAUUUUAAAAUUACAGCACACUAACUGUGAAUCAAUUCUAAACAAACUCACCUGGUUAACCUAGUCAUACAUACAUACAUAAAUACACACACACACACACGUGUCAUAUUAUGUGUGUUCAUUUACAACAGCUUUAAAACCAUUAAAACCGGCCUGGUCUGCUUCGACAAAACACACCUCAACAACAAAUAAAAUCAGAGUAACUGAAACCACACAAUUUACCUCAUGACACACAUGAUACCUGAACGAUUCGUGGCAGCAUGAUAUAAGAGGACAUAGGUAUUCUAUUACCAGAACCCUAAUGGUCCUUCAGGUAUUCUAGAACCCUGAUUUCUGUACUUCAGGUAUUCUAGAACCCUGAUGAUCCCUGCUUUAGGUAUUCAAAAAAUCCUCAAUAUAUAUCGGAACUUAAACCUCAUGCUGAUGCAACAUCGCCUUGCCAUUUCCAACUACCUCCAAUUUCCACCAAAACAACCUGCAAACUUAAUUCUUAAAGAAUGCACACUGCCCAGGUAGACAGUAGUACAGGACUACUACACACAACAAUGCGUAAGUGUGUGUGUGUGUGUGUGUGUGUGUCAGUGUGCUAGCAUACAAUGUCAUUAUACCUUUUCAUAACAGUUGUCUUCUUACCAUGGAACCGUUCUUUGUUGUGUAAGUCUGCCAAGUCAUUUACUGAAACCAGUGCUCUGUAUUUUUAUUUCAUAAGCAGCUAUGGAAAUAAAUAGUUUAGUCUUUAUUUUCACAUAAACUUUGGUGUUGUGUUUCCAACUAGGUGGCACCAAGACAUUUACAUUUCAUUAUCUGCAACUGGG
Long non-coding RNA from Esox lucius (northern pike), 1056 nucleotides. The record is from Ensembl. NCBI's taxonomy places the organism in Eukaryota, Metazoa, Chordata, Actinopteri, Esociformes, Esocidae.